Molecule: ribosomal RNA, 434 nt
Filed under: Myrmeleon obscurus
Lineage: Eukaryota; Metazoa; Arthropoda; Insecta; Neuroptera; Myrmeleontidae
Description: bacterial SSU rRNA
Rfam family: Eukaryotic small subunit ribosomal RNA
Source: RNAcentral
GAUGCCAGCUAGCGAUCCGCCAAAGUUCCUCCGAUGACUUGGUGGGCAGCUUCCGGGAAACCAAAGCAUUUGGGUUCCGGGGGAAGUAUGGUUGCAAAGCUGAAACUUAAAGGAAUUGACGGAAGGGCACCACCAGGAGUGGAGCCUGCGGCUUAAUUUGACUCAACACGGGAAACCUCACCAGGCCCGGACACCGGAAGGAUUGACAGAUUGAGAGCUCUUUCUUGAUUCGGUGGGUGGUGGUGCAUGGCCGUUCUUAGUUGGUGGAGCGAUUUGUCUGGUUAAUUCCGAUAACGAACGAGACUCUAGCCUACUAAAUAGACGUACUUUAUUACCGGCAUCUCAAGGCCCAUCGGCUGUAUUGUUACUGAAUGUUAUUUGUAUAUUUUGUUGAUAUAUGUUUAUUAUAUGUAUGAUUGAUAAUAUGUGUAUAU